RNAcentral lists this ribosomal RNA (493 nucleotides) under uncultured bacterium. RNAcentral describes it as "partial 16S ribosomal RNA". It matches the Rfam family "Bacterial small subunit ribosomal RNA", at positions 29 to 507 of the family's 1533-position model. The record is from RNAcentral.
ACGAACGCUGGCGGCGUGCUUAACACAUGCAAGUCGAACGGUGAAGCGCCUUCCUUUUUGGUGGGUGUGGAUGAGUGGCGAACGGGUGAGUAACACGUGAGUAACCUGCCCCCUUCUUCUGGAUAACCGCAUGAAAGUGUGGCUAAUACGGGAUAUUCUGGGUCUGUCGCAUGAUGGGUCUGGGAAAGAUAUUGUUUCGGUGGGGGAUGGGCUCGCGGCCUAUCAGGUUGUUGGUGGGGUGAUGGCCUACCAAGGCGGUGACGGGUAGCCGGCCUGAGAGGGUGGACGGUCACACAGGGACUGAGACACGGCCAAGACUACUACGGGAGGCAGCAGUGGGGAAUAUUGCACAAUGGGCGCAAGCCUGAUGCAGCGACGCCGCGUGAGGGAUGGAGGCCUUCGGGUUGUGAACCUCUUUCGCCAGUGAAGCAGGCCUGCCUCGUUUGUGGGUGGGUUGACGGUAGCUGGAUAAGAAGCGCCGGCUAACUACGUG